GGAAUGGUACAAGCAGAUGCCUAUCAUCACCCGCUCGUAUCUUACAGCAGCUAUUGUCACCACCAUCCGUUGUUCCCUCGAGGUAUGUUUCCUCUACCCCUUUAAUCCUUUAUGAUGGGCUUCUUUUAUAUUUUUUAAAUAUUAAUUGGAAUUGAAUAUUUGUUUGGACAAAAGGGUUAAAAAGUUUUUGCAUUGAUUGCUUAAUGGUUGAUAUUUUGUUUUUAGACAAAUGGAUAUUAUUGUUUUUAGUUGAUUUCUAAUUGUUUGUUUAAUUUUGCGAAGUGGAGACAUUCCCUUGUCAGUUUUGUGUUAAUUGUUGUGUGCUUUUCGGUAUAUUGCUCAAAUUUUAAUGCUAUAAAUCAAAAUUUUGGUUUUUAAAGCCGUAUUAAUUGUUUAUUUGGUAUAUCUUAUUAAGGACUAGGGCUACUGAGUUUUUGCUAUCGGGGUCAUUGGUAUCACAGGCAUCUUUCCCGCACUGUAUUAACCUUAGAGUUCAGUUCAAGGUAAACCUUCCUUAUCGUGGUUAGAGGAUUUUUAAGGAAGAAGAAAUACCAUUCUUGUGGUUUAGCAUUAGGAGUAGAACCAUUAUCAACAACACAUAGAGUAAAUUCACGUCAAUCAGGCUAUACCUUGGGGUUGAGGCUAGUGAACUUGAAUAGUAAAUUCUUUUUUUUUUUCUGGGAUUAUUUUUUUUUAUCUUGGGGCAUAUUUGCAUUAGCUUUGAAGUAUCAAUUGGAUUCUGUUUAUUUAUUCCUUUUGUAAUUUUGAUAUCUGAAUGUAUAACUGGAUGAUUUAAAAGCUUUAGCAACUAGUUCUUUUUCUCAUUUUCGUUUUUGGCAGAUAACAUCUCCUCAUAAUUUGUAAUUGCAUCCUGCACUUGUUGUUAAGCAUAUAGUCAAUUCUGGCAUCUCAUCACCAAUUUCCUGUAGUUCCGGAAAAUGGGUAUGUUUUAAACCUUGUGUUUUAAAUGAUAUAUGAUUGCAUUGUCGUGAUAGGGAUGAGUAUAAUUGUGCUAGGAUAGGGAAAUUUGUGGAAGAGAGCUGCUUUCUUUGAUGUAUUUCUUCGAUAUUUUUAGUUUCAAAGGUAGAAAAGUUUGAUAAGAGAGUAUUUCAUAUUCACAUUUAACAUACUUAUAUAGUGAUUAAUAUGCUAAUUAUUUAACAUGCUUCUGUGUGCAUCUCUACUCUUUAUAAUUUUGUGUCAGAUAGUUUCAUAGAAUCUUACAUAUUCAGGUGCUUGAAAUCAAACUGCAAAUAAUAUCUAAAAGGGUAAUUGAAUGCCCAUCUAUAGCAAGUUGCAUUGGCAUGGUGAUUCUUUGAAAACUGUGUUUGUGAUGAUGCCAAUUCAUGUUAAAAGUAGUAGUAUGAUUUAUUCAAACAUAGCUGUAGAUACCAAAUUUUGUCCUAGUAUUUUCUAAAAAAUUUUCAAAAAAUUGUUAACUCUAAUCUUAUUUCUAAUUUAAUUUUAAUUCAAUUUUGACUUUAAGGGAAUAGUGAUUUAUUUCUAUAAAAUAACUAGGAGCAAGAAGCUUUA
This 1533-nucleotide unclassified non-coding RNA is filed under the name Hevea brasiliensis (rubber tree). The record is from RNAcentral. Lineage: Eukaryota; Viridiplantae; Streptophyta; Magnoliopsida; Malpighiales; Euphorbiaceae.